This is a long non-coding RNA of Rhododendron vialii, 834 nucleotides long. RefSeq lists it as uncharacterized. The record is from RefSeq and is a predicted model, not a curated record. The transcript is spliced from 3 exons. NCBI's taxonomy places the organism in Eukaryota, Viridiplantae, Streptophyta, Magnoliopsida, Ericales, Ericaceae.
UCUCCAAAAACGAAGCAACGCACCUCUCCCGCUCCUCCAAACCGAAGCAGUGGAUAUGGCUCUCCCACCAAUGCCUCAGAAUCACUUUUAAUGCCCCCCUUACGAGAUCAAUCAAAAUUUCUUCGUCCACCAUUGCCCAUCACUCAGAAUCGCUUCAUGCUUCAACCUUUUCUCUUUUUUUGGUGCAACGGAAAUUCGUUUCUACCUUUUCACACGAUGAAGGCAUAACAACACCGUUUCUCUGAAUGUUCUCGUGACUUUCACUGCCCAUCCUAAGGAUUCCUCACCAUCAUCUUGCUGACAAUAUUGGGUUCGUGCUGGCUUCCAAGCCAAUUGGAAAUGGCAGUGGAUGGUGCUUGGAAUGUAAUGAUAGAAGCUUGGCUUGUUACAAGCAAUGGGCAAUAUCAAAUAAAUAAUUAUUCCCUUUUCACCAUAUAAGCAACAAAAGUGGAAGCAAUGGCCUAUUUGAAGCGCUUCAGUGGGCUAAGCAAAACAUUAGCAUUGAUAACCUUAUCAUUUAUAUUGAUGCUUAAGAGGUGGUAAAUAGUUUAUGGGGUGUUUCAUUUCUAUCCCAUGCUUUUUCUACAACUUGUCAUCGAAGAUAUUAUAUGUUGCUGUUUAGCAAUUUCAGUUAUGUUGUUGUUAGUAAAGUUCAUCCAAGGUAACGUAAGUAAGACCAUCUUAUCCUGGCCAUUGCUGCCUUGAGAAUGGGACUAACUAUAUGUCUUGUAUUGUUGGGUUGUUAUUGGCAUAUAUGAUGAUCUACAUGUUCCUAAAAAAAAUUCAUUUGUGCAAUGACAUACAAUUUCAAUUGUUUUGAGAAAAGAUAGUUCA